This 460-nucleotide ribosomal RNA is filed under the name uncultured bacterium. Its description in RNAcentral is "partial 16S ribosomal RNA". It matches the Rfam family "Bacterial small subunit ribosomal RNA", at positions 338 to 795 of the family's 1533-position model. The record is from RNAcentral.
CCUACGGGUGGCAGCAGUGAGGAAUAUUGGUCCAUGGUCGGGAGCCUGAACCAGCCAAGUCGCGUGAAGGAUGACUGUCCUACGGGUUGUAAACUUCUUUUAUAAAGGAAUAAAGUGAGGCACGUGUGCCUUUUUGUGUGUACUUUAUGAAUAAGGAUCGGCUAACUCCGUGCCAGCCGCCGCGGUAAUACGGAGGAUCCGAGCGUUAUCCGGAUUUAUUGGGUUUAAAGGGUGCGUAGAUGGGUUGUUAAGUCAGUUGUGAAAGUUUGGGGCUCAACCCGAAAAUUGCAGUUGAUACUGGCAGUCUUGAGUACAGUUGAGGUAGGCGGAAUUCGUGGUGUAGCGGUGAAAUGCUUAGAUAUCACGAAGAACUCCGAUUGCGAAGGCAGCUUACUAAACUGCCACUGACAUUGAUGCUCGAAAGUGUGGGUAUCAAACAGGAUUAGAUACCCCUGUAGUC